Molecule: unclassified non-coding RNA, 314 nt
Filed under: uncultured fungus
Lineage: Eukaryota; Fungi
Description: partial contains 5.8S ribosomal RNA and internal transcribed spacer 2
Rfam family: 5.8S ribosomal RNA (bases 1-133)
Source: RNAcentral
UGGUUCUGGCAUCGAUGAAGAACGCAGCGAAAUGCGAUAAGUAGUGUGAAUUGCAGAAUUCAGUGAAUCAUCGAAUCUUUGAACGCACAUUGCGCCCCUUGGUAUUCCAUGGGGCAUGCCUGUUCGAGCGUCAUUUGUACUCUCAAGCUUUGCUUGGUGUUGGGUGCUGUCUAGCUACUAGACUCGCCUUAAAAGAAUUGGCAGCCAGUGUAUUGGUCUUUUGCGCAGCACAAUUUGCGCUUUAACCAGCUAUUUCUGGCAUCCAGAAGCCUUUUACAACGCUUGACCUCGGAUCAGGUAGGGAUACCCGCUGA